This 247-nucleotide ribosomal RNA is filed under the name uncultured bacterium. RNAcentral describes it as "partial 16S ribosomal RNA". It matches the Rfam family "Bacterial small subunit ribosomal RNA", at positions 523 to 769 of the family's 1533-position model. The record is from RNAcentral.
AUACGUAGGGGGCAAGCGUUAUCCGGAUUUACUGGGUGUAAAGGGUGCGUAGGCGGGACUGCAAGUCAGACGUGAAAUACCGAGGCUUAACCUCGGGGCUGCGUUUGAAACUGUAGUUCUUGAGUGAAGUAGAGGCAGGCGGAAUUCCUAGUGUAGCGGUGAAAUGUGUAGAUAUUAGGAGGAACACCAGUGGCGAAGGCGGCCUGCUGGGCUUUAACUGACGCUGAUGCACGAAAGCAUGGGGAGC